This 240-nucleotide ribosomal RNA is filed under the name uncultured soil bacterium. RNAcentral describes it as "partial 16S ribosomal RNA". It matches the Rfam family "Bacterial small subunit ribosomal RNA", at positions 25 to 260 of the family's 1533-position model. The record is from RNAcentral.
CAGAUUGAACGCUGGCGGCACGCUUAACACAUGCAAGUCGGGCGGUAACAUGUUAGUAGCUUGCUACUAAUGAUGACGAGCGGCGGACGGGUGAGUAAUACGUAGGAACCUGCCUUAGAGAGGGGGACAACCAAGGGAAACUUUGGCUAAUACCGCAUACACUCGAAAGAGGAAAGCUGCCUUAGUAAAAGGUAGCGCUGUAAGGAGGGCCUGCGUCCGAUUAGCUAGUUGGUAGGGUAA